This 73-nucleotide transfer RNA is filed under the name Ramlibacter tataouinensis TTB310. It matches the Rfam family "tRNA". From Rfam's summary of the family: Transfer RNA (tRNA) molecules are approximately 80 nucleotides in length. The record is from Rfam by way of RNAcentral. Lineage: Bacteria; Pseudomonadati; Pseudomonadota; Betaproteobacteria; Burkholderiales; Comamonadaceae.
GCCGGAGUAGCUCAGUCGGUAGAGCAGCGCAUUCGUAAUGCGAAGGUCGGGGGUUCGAUUCCUCUCUCCGGCA